This 757-nucleotide ribosomal RNA is filed under the name uncultured Actinomycetes bacterium. RNAcentral describes it as "bacterial SSU rRNA". It matches the Rfam family "Bacterial small subunit ribosomal RNA", at positions 87 to 857 of the family's 1533-position model. Lineage: Bacteria; Bacillati; Actinomycetota; Actinomycetes. The record is from RNAcentral.
GUACACGAGUGGCGAACGGGUGAGUAACACGUGGGUGACCUGCCCUGCACUUCGGGAUAAGCCUGGGAAACUGGGUCUAAUACCGGAUAGGACCGCACCGUGAGGGUGUGGUGGAAAGUUUUUUCGGUGUGGGAUGGGCCCGCGGCCUAUCAGCUUGUUGGUGGGGUCAAUGGCCUACCAAGGCGGCGACGGGUAGCCGGCCUGAGAGGGUGGACGGCCACAUUGGGACUGAGACACGGCCCAGACUCCUACGGGAGGCAGCAAGUGGGGAAUAUUGCACAAUGGGCGGAAGCCUGAUGCAGCGACGCCGCGUGGGGGAUGACGGCCUUCGGGUGUAACCUCCCUUUCACAUCGACGAAAGGGUUCCUGACGGUAGAUGGAGAAGAAGCACCGGCUAACUACGUGCCAGCAGCCGCGGUAAUACGUAGGGUGCGAGCGUUGUCCGGAAUUACUGGGCGUAAAGAGCUCGUAGGUGGUUUGUCGCUCGUCUGUGAAAUUCCGGGGCUUAACUCCGGGCGUGCAGGCGAUACGGGCAUAACUUGAGUACUGUAGGGGAGACUGGAAUUCCUGGUGUAGCGGUGAAAUGCGCAGAUAUCAGGAGGAACACCGGUGGCGAAGGCGGGUCUCUGGGCAGUAACUGACGCUGAGGAGCGAAAGCAUGGGGAGCGAACAGGAUUAGAUAACCUGGUAGUCCAUGCCGUAAACGGUGGGCGCUAGGUGUGGGUUUCCUUCCACGGGAUCCGUGCCGUAGCUAACG